UGUGGUGACAUUGGUAUAACAUAUAGGUGAGAUGUAGGAGUACAUCAUCACUAAACAAGUGACUCACCUACUGAGAAUUCUGCUAUCAAGAGCUGCUCGUAAAAUAUAUGGGGAUAAGUAUCUUUCAUAUCUGAGAUCACCAUAGUGACUUGCAAACAACUCACUGUGCUUUGAUGCUGAACUAUCUGAAUUUCUAAUACAGUGAUGAAAGGCUA
RNAcentral lists this long non-coding RNA (215 nucleotides) under Elaeis guineensis (African oil palm). Its description in RNAcentral is "long non-coding RNA (EGUI_LNC071666)". The record is from RNAcentral. Lineage: Eukaryota; Viridiplantae; Streptophyta; Magnoliopsida; Arecales; Arecaceae.